AUUGAACGCUGGCGGCAUGCUUUACACAUGCAAGUCGAACGGUAACAGGCCGCAAGGUGCUGACGAGUGGCGAACGGGUGAGUAAUGCAUCGGAACGUGCCCAGUCGUGGGGGAUAACUACUCGAAAGAGUAGCUAAUACCGCAUACGAUCCAUGGAUGAAAGCGGGGGACCGUAAGGCCUCGCGCGAUUGGAGCGGCCGAUGUCAGAUUAGGUAGUUGGUGGGGUAAAGGCUCACCAAGCCAACGAUCUGUAGCUGGUCUGAGAGGACGACCAGCCACACUGGGACUGAGACACGGCCCAGACUCCCACGGGAGGCAGCAGUGGGGAAUUUUGGACAAUGGGCGCAAGCCUGAUCCAGCAAUGCCGCGUGCAGGAAGAAGGCCUUCGGGUUGUAAACUGCUUUUGUACGGAACGAAACGGCUCUGGUUAAUACCCGGGGCUAAUGACGGUACCGUAAGAAUAAGCACCGGCUAACUACGUG
This 482-nucleotide ribosomal RNA is filed under the name uncultured bacterium. RNAcentral's name for it is "partial 16S ribosomal RNA". It matches the Rfam family "Bacterial small subunit ribosomal RNA", at positions 30 to 507 of the family's 1533-position model. The record is from RNAcentral.